GAGAGAUCCUGUGAUCUCCCUGCCGGCCUCGGCCCACAGCCACCGCGGCCCACCGGGCAUUUGCCCGGUGUGCCCGAUGGCCAGUCCGGGCCUGCUUCUGACUUGAGUAUAUACUGUGCAGAAUGGCUGCAAGAAAGCAUAAUUUUGGGGACAUGGCAGACGAACGUGGAGAUGGAGUGGAUGCUAAUAUGAUACUGCUGUCUUGAGAGAAGGCCCGAAAAAGAAGACUGAAGUCCAGUUAACUAACUCUUAAAGGACCACUAUAGUGCCAGGAAAACAUACUUGUUUUCCUGGCACUAUAGUGCCCUGAGGGUGCCCCCACACUCAGGGACCC
Pelobates cultripes (western spadefoot toad) is the source of this 334-nucleotide non-coding RNA. The record is from the annotation of a GenBank genome assembly. Lineage: Eukaryota; Metazoa; Chordata; Amphibia; Anura; Pelobatidae.